AACGAACGCUGGCGGCAUGCCUAACACAUGCAAGUCGAACGAGACCUUCGGGUCUAGUGGCGCACGGGUGCGUAACGCGUGGGAACCUGCCCUUAGGUUCGUAAUAACUCCCCGAAAGGGGUGCUAAUACCGGAUAAUGUCUUCGGACCAAAGAUUGAUCGCCUUUGGAUGGGCCCGCGUUGGAUUAGCUAGUUGGUAGGGUAAAAGCCUACCAAGGCGACGAUCCAUAGCUGGUCUGAGAGGAUGAUCAGCCACACUGGGACUGAGACACGGCCCAGACUCCUACGGGAGGCAGCAGUGGGGAAUAUUGGACAAUGGGCGAAAGCCUGAUCCAGCAAUGCCGCGUGAGUGAUGAAGGCCUUAGGGUUGUAAAGCUCUUUUACCCGGGAUGAUAAUGACAGUACCGGGAGAAUAAGCUCCGGCUAACUCCGUG
This 433-nucleotide ribosomal RNA is filed under the name uncultured bacterium. RNAcentral's name for it is "partial 16S ribosomal RNA". It matches the Rfam family "Bacterial small subunit ribosomal RNA", at positions 29 to 507 of the family's 1533-position model. The record is from RNAcentral.